UCCAGGGUAGCCUAGUGGACAUGGCAUCUGCCCGGUAAGCGGAACAUUGUGGGUUCGACUCCCAUCCCUGGAA
RNAcentral lists this transfer RNA (73 nucleotides) under Cordylochernes scorpioides. RNAcentral's name for it is "tRNA-Thr". It matches the Rfam family "tRNA". Rfam says of the family: Transfer RNA (tRNA) molecules are approximately 80 nucleotides in length. Their secondary structure includes four short double-helical elements and three loops (D, anti-codon, and T loops). Further hydrogen bonds mediate the characteristic L-shaped molecular structure. tRNAs have two regions of fundamental functional importance: the anti-codon, which is responsible for specific mRNA codon recognition, and the 3' end, to which the tRNAs corresponding amino acid is attached (by aminoacyl-tRNA synthetases). tRNAs cope with the degeneracy of the genetic code in two manners: having more than one tRNA (with a specific anti-codon) for a particular amino acid; and 'wobble' base-pairing, i.e. permitting non-standard base-pairing at the 3rd anti-codon position. Lineage: Eukaryota; Metazoa; Arthropoda; Arachnida; Pseudoscorpiones; Chernetidae. The record is from RNAcentral.